GACGAACGCUGGCGGCGUGCUUAACACAUGCAAGUCGAACGGAAAGGCCCUGCUUUUGUGGGGUGCUCGAGUGGCGAACGGGUGAGUAACACGUGAGUAACCUGCCCUUGACUUUGGGAUAACUUCAGGAAACUGGGGCUAAUACCGGAUAGGAGCUCCUGCUGCAUGGUGGGGGUUGGAAAGUUUCGGCGGUUGGGGAUGGACUCGCGGCUUAUCAGCUUGUUGGUGGGGUAGUGGCUUACCAAGGCUUUGACGGGUAGCCGGCCUGAGAGGGUGACCGGCCACAUUGGGACUGGGAUGCGGCCCAGACUCCUACGGGAGGAAGCAGUGGAGAAUAUUGCACAAUGGGCGGAAGCCUGAUGCAGCAACGCCGCGUGCGGAAUGACGGCCUUGGGGUUGAAAACCGCUUGCGCCUGUGACGAAGCGUGUGAGACGGUAAUGGGUAAAAGAGCACCGGCAAACUGCG
This 466-nucleotide ribosomal RNA is filed under the name uncultured bacterium. RNAcentral describes it as "partial 16S ribosomal RNA". It matches the Rfam family "Bacterial small subunit ribosomal RNA", at positions 28 to 505 of the family's 1533-position model. The record is from RNAcentral.